This 431-nucleotide ribosomal RNA is filed under the name uncultured bacterium. RNAcentral describes it as "partial 16S ribosomal RNA". It matches the Rfam family "Bacterial small subunit ribosomal RNA", at positions 29 to 507 of the family's 1533-position model. The record is from RNAcentral.
AACGAACGCUGGCGGCAGGCUUAACACAUGCAAGUCGAGCGCCCCGCAAGGGGCGCGGCCGACGGGUGAGUACCGCGUGGGAACGUACCUUUUGGUUCGUAACAACUCCGGGAAACUGGAGCUAAUACCGGAUAAGCCCUAACGGGGAAAGAUUUAUCGCCGAAAGAUCGGCCCGCGUCUGAUUAGCUAGUUGGUGAGGUAACGGCUCACCAAGGCGACGAUCAGUAGCUGGUCUGAGAGGAUGAUCAGCCACACUGGGACUGGGACACGGCCCAGACUCCUACGGGAGGCAGCAGUGGGGAAUAUUGGACAAUGGGCGCAAGCCUGAUCCAGCCAUGCCGGGUGAGUGAUGAAGGCCUUAGGGUUGUAAAGCUCUUUUGUCCGGGAAGAUAAUGACUGUACCGGAAGAAUAAGCCCCGGCUAACUUCGUG